AUGCCUGCGCGCUGCCUCUCUGCCGCGAUCUUCUCUCUGGCUCUGUGUGUCUGCCGGGCCGAUGAGAUCGACCAGUGGCCGGGAUCUCUCAGCGUCCGCCUGGGGGCGACGGCCGAGAUGAAGUGCCUUCAGAAGGGACAGCUCCGUGAGAACAUGCUCUGGUACCGCCAGCCGUCCACCGGCGGGCUGGCGUUGAUCGGGUCCGUCUAUCUCAGCAGCGAGGCCCGGCUGGAGGAGGGCUUCAAGAGCGGGUUCGUCAUCACCAGGGCAAAGGAGAAUAAGGAGUCUACCCUCCAGGUAGAGAGCGUGAAGGCCGCGGACGUGGCGACCUAUUUCUGCGCUACUACUGAUGGCGCACAGCGUUGUAGAGAUACUGGGCGCCAAUACAAAAACUCCAACAGGUCUCCCUGCAGAGCAACUCUGCCAAGGUUCCGGGAGCAGAUCGGAACUAGGUAUAGAACGGGAACUGGGUGGGCCAAGGGGCCUUUUACUUUGCUGCAGGUGUUCUCCGUCUCAUGGCUAGGAUUGGAAUAGAUUUAUCAUUGUCACGCCACCGAGAUGUAGUGAAAGGCUUUGUGUGCAUGCAGAUGAAAUCAUUACACAGUGCAUUCAGGUCGAACAAGUUCCGUCGGAUGUAGAACCGGGCAACACAGAAACAGGCCCUUCGGCCCACAAUGUUGUGCUGACCCAGCUAAAAAGGAAAUGGAAGCAACUACCUGUAUUUGUAAACAAUACAGAUCACUUUGUAGAGAUCUGUUUUCACUUUCACACGGAAGAGGCUUUUUCUGUUGAUGAAGGCCAAAUUAACUCCACUGCGAUACAGUUGAUACGUAUCCGCUGAGCGGCAUUUCUGCGCUGGUCGACGAAUUCUUCAUGGGAGACGUCCGCAGACAGAGGCCAGGCUGGUUCAAUGUGACUGGAAGGCGACGGUUACCCGGAAAGUUCAACGUUACAACAGCCGUGUGCAGACGAGCGUCUCUGAACGCACAACACGUCGAACACUGAGGCGAAUGGGCGACAGCAGCAGAAGACGAUGAGUCUACACUCAGUGGGCAGUCUGUUGGGUACAGCAGGUAUCUAAUGACGCUGAUAUCAUACCCAGUGACCUGCUUACCUGGCUAUCUGAAGCACUUUCCGUGCAUCCAGCCCUCCACCAAGUCUGCUAAUCUCUCUCUCUCUCUCUCUCGCUCGCUCGCUCUCUCCUUCUCCACAACAGAGAAAGACAGAUAGAUAUACAGAGAAUAAGCGAGACAGACAGAUAGAUAAUAUAGAUAGAUAGAUAGAUAGAUAAAUUAGAUAGUUAGAUAUAUAGAUAGGCAGAUAUCUAGAGAGAGAAAUAAACACAGAUAGACAGAUAAAUAGAUAGCUCGAGAGGGAGACAGUUAGAGAGAGAGAGAGAGAGACGAUCACUGGUAGGUGGACUGAUAUCUAGAUGAAUAGAUAGAUAGAUAUGUACAUAGAUAGAUAGAUGGAUAGAGGGAGAGUUAGAUAAACAAAUGGAUAAAUAGAUAGUGAGACAGACAGACAGAUAGGUAGAUAGAUAGAUAAAUAAAUUGAUAUAUAGACAAAUAUAGAUAGAUAGACAGAUAGAUAGAUAAAGAGAUAGAGAGAGCAAGAGAUAGAUUAUUAUUGGUACAUAGACAGACAGAUAGAUGAAUAGACAGAU
Mobula hypostoma (lesser devil ray) is the source of this 1666-nucleotide non-coding RNA. The record is from the annotation of a RefSeq genome assembly. NCBI's taxonomy places the organism in Eukaryota, Metazoa, Chordata, Chondrichthyes, Myliobatiformes, Myliobatidae.